RNAcentral lists this ribosomal RNA (423 nucleotides) under uncultured archaeon. RNAcentral's name for it is "partial 16S ribosomal RNA". It matches the Rfam family "Archaeal small subunit ribosomal RNA", at positions 323 to 746 of the family's 1478-position model. The record is from RNAcentral.
CUACGGGUGGCUGCAGGUACGAAUUUUCUACAAUACGCGAAAGCGUGAUAGGGGGAUCUAAAGUGCUCAUGCAUUAGCAUGGGCUUUUGCCAAGCGUAAAUAACUUGGCGAAUAAGUGGUGGGUAAGACAGGUGCCAGCAGCCGCGGUAACACCUGCGCCACGAGUGGCAAUCAGCAUUACUGGGUCUAAAGCGUCCGUAGCCGGUUUGGUAAAUCUUUUGUGAAAUCGUUGAGCUCAACUUAACGGCGUGCAAAAGAGACUGCCUGACUAGGGACCAGGAGAGGUAAGAGGUAUUCUGGGGGUAGCGGUAGAAUGCGAUAAUCCCCGGAGGACCACCGAUGGCGAAGGCAUCUUACUAGAAUGGGUCCGACGGUGAGGGACGAAAGCCAGGGGAGCAAAACGGAUUAGAUACCCCGGUAGUC